This 400-nucleotide ribosomal RNA is filed under the name phytoplankton environmental sample. RNAcentral describes it as "partial small subunit ribosomal RNA". It matches the Rfam family "Eukaryotic small subunit ribosomal RNA", at positions 587 to 988 of the family's 1831-position model. The record is from RNAcentral.
AGCUCCAAUAGCGUAUAUUAAAGUUGUUGCAGUUAAAAAGCUCGUAGUUGAACCUUGGCCGUCGGUGACCGGUCUGCUCUAGUAGUACGUACUGGUUAUCCGGCGGCUUUCCUGGUGAGGGCCUAUUCUGCUCUUAACUGAGUGGGGUAUGGUUCAUUCACCUCUUUUACUGUGAACAAAUUAGAGUGUUCAAAGCAGGCAUUUGCUUGAAUACAUUAGCAUGGAAUAAUGGAAUAGGACUUUGGUUCUAUUUUGUUGGUUUCUAGGACCGAAGUAAUGAUUAAUAGGGAUAGUUGGGGGCAUUCAUAUUUAAUUGUCAGAGGUGAAAUUCUUGGAUUUAUGAAAGAUGAACUUCUGCGAAAGCAUUUGCCAAGGAUGUUUUCAUUGAUCAAGAACGAAA